CGUGGUCUCUGCUGCCUUUUUCGUUUUGCUCCCUUUUGUGUUUGCUGCUCUGCUUCUGAGUGUUUCCUGUCCCUGAUGGCAGAGGCCACCCCUGUGCGUGUGGUGCCGCAGGGCCCAGUGCAACCCCCAUCCCCCAUUGUGGAGGGAAGCCGAAAAGCAGCUCCCUCCCCCCUCUCUGUCCCCGCCCAUGCUGAACCACCUCUGGUGGGGGGACAGGGCCAGCUGCCCACAACACAGAGAGAGGCCAGAGUGACUCACCUCCACUGAUGUCGGCGGCCAGGCCAUGGAUGGUGUUGUGCGCGAGCGGGCGGUGACAGCGAACAGGCUUGUAUCAUUCAUGUUAUAGGCGAAGUUCCAACAGAUCUCGAACACAUCCUACCCCCCUCCCUGGCCCUCGAACUGCCCUGCUGGUAUGGAGACCCUGAGUCCACCCCUCCUUCCGAGAGGGAUGAAUCAAGUGCCUGCCGGCAUGAUGGGAGCGGUUGCGAGGCGACCUGCAAGGCGAGUAGGUGGACAGAGCUCGAGGCAGGGGCCGCGCCCAGAUGACUGGGUCGGCACACUGGCUGUAACGCGCGUAUGCCGCUGCUUUGCACCAUGUGAGGGGUCUCUGUGGUGAGGCUGGGGGUAGUAGAGGGGCGCUCAGGUGGCGUUUUGCGGCAGAAUGGAGAUGAUAAAAGGAAUGUUGUGCUUGUCGAGUAAUGUUUGUGUGCCGUCUUUGUAAGUCUUUGACGUGCACCGCUCCUCUUCCUCUGUCCUUUAUUCGUCUGCGCAUCGCUUCGCCCUCAUGAGGCGCUGCGUCUCUGGUGCAUCAACGCAAUAAGAGACGAGUUGAAGAGGGUGACGGUGCUGGAGACAGGGAUAGCGCGGCUAAGCGAAGACGACGGCCACCGCACAGUUCAUAAUGCAGCGGGUCGUCGUGAUGUUGGCUGUAUUUGACGGCUGGCACUGCUCAUGACUCUCUUUUUGUUUUCCUUGCUUGUGCUCUCGCAUGUGUCAUUCCGUGUUGUCGGCUUCCUUUUUCGUUGUUGCUGCUGAUGUUUGUGUCCUUCGUCACGCGUGCUCUUUGUGCGUGCGUGUGUUCCUGGUUCUCCUCCUCUUCGCGAUGCAUGUGUACGCGUCUUGCUGGUCCUCUUCACCCAUCGCCUUUGCGUGUUUUGCGUUUGUUGCUUCCUUUUCUUGGUUGCUUCGAAAGGGAUUUGGUUUCUCCGUCAACUCCGCCUUUCUUCGCCCUCACUUACCUCUGGACCCUCGUUGAAGACACGCCUCUGCCGGCGCGUCUCUUUUUCUGCUCACUCGUGCAGGUUGGAUACCUGCUGAGUCUGCGCUGAGGAUCCUCUACGUUUGCAAGGGUGUGCUUGCGUUUGCCUCUUCUUGUAGUCAUGGAAGGCACAAGGUGAGAGGGCGACUAACAUAUUCGCAAACAGCGGCACAGAUGUCUUCUUACAACCCGCGUUCUCACAGGCGGAUGCCCUUGCCCACAGAUACGCGUGCAUGGGGAUGUGUUUGUGAGUGGACAGAGCAGCACACAUGAAACGUCAAUGAAGAAAGCAAAAAGAAAAACGACAUGUUCUUGUGCGCGCGCAGCCAUAAACUGUUUU
This 1598-nucleotide unclassified non-coding RNA is filed under the name Leishmania donovani. RNAcentral describes it as "gene:unknown". Lineage: Eukaryota; Euglenozoa; Kinetoplastea; Trypanosomatida; Trypanosomatidae. The record is from RNAcentral.